Molecule: long non-coding RNA, 239 nt
Organism: Lemur catta (Ring-tailed lemur)
Lineage: Eukaryota; Metazoa; Chordata; Mammalia; Primates; Lemuridae
Exons: 4
Source: RefSeq, a predicted model, not a curated record
UCUACCCUGCUUCAGCUAACCAGAUGGAUCACUUCUCUGGAUGUUGACAUGAACAGCCUAUGCCGGUAGAGUGGGGGACUCUGAGACAGUAACCUGCUCUAUAAGAUACAAGACACCAAACAACUUGGACAAACACUCCUGAGGUCAAGGGCCAUGGGAGGAAAGAGACUUGAGCAAGUUUAAUUGCAAGCAGGGGAGCCAUUAAGGCACUCAUAAAUUCCCUAAUUAGGCAGUCUCCU